GACGAACCGUGCGAACGUUGUUCGGAAUCACUGGGCUUAAAGGGCGCGUAGGCGGGCCGGCAGGUCAGGGGUGAAAGCCCGCGGCUCAACCGCGGAAGCGCCCCUGAUACCGCCGGCCUCGAGGGGGGCAGGGGCGUGCGGAACUUCCGGUGGAGCGGUGAAAUGCGUAGAUAUCGGAAGGAACACCGGUGGCGAAAGCGGCGCGCUGGACCUCUUCUGACGCUGAGGCGCGAAAGCCAGGGGAGCAAACGGG
Molecule: ribosomal RNA, 253 nt
Filed under: uncultured bacterium
Lineage: Bacteria
Description: partial 16S ribosomal RNA
Rfam family: Bacterial small subunit ribosomal RNA
Source: RNAcentral